RNAcentral lists this long non-coding RNA (1023 nucleotides) under Chloebia gouldiae (Gouldian finch). RNAcentral's name for it is "Erythrura gouldiae (Gouldian finch) lncRNA (ENSEGOG00005015075.1)". The record is from RNAcentral. Lineage: Eukaryota; Metazoa; Chordata; Aves; Passeriformes; Passeridae.
GGCAGGUGCAGAACUCCAGGAUCAUCGGGAUCCUUCACGUGGGAGGUGAAGCCACGAUUUCCCGGUGCUGCUGGGUGAAGUGCCAGCGUCGUUCAGGUGACCUGAGCUGUCACCUGCAUCCAGGAUUUCCUGUCUCUCCCAGCAAACAGCCCACGAGAUCCAGCUGAAGGGUGCAGCCCGGGAUCACCUCAUGUUCGUGCAGGGGGGAGUGCCCCUGGAUGUGCCCGUGGAGUCCUUGGCUGUCACCUCACCACAGGAAGCACCGGACAGAGGGCCACAAGGAGCAGUGAGGUCCCUUCUCCUGGUCCUGGAGUUUGUGGAGGGCUCAGCAGAGCCAGCCAGGGCAGAGAUCACCGUGGGGGCCAUUCAAAGCCCUCAGCUGGCAACCAAGAAGGCCGUGGAGUUCAGCCUGGCGGGCGGCGCGGAGCUGCAGCGGGCCGGCUUCCAGCUGCACGGCCCCGACGGAGCCCUGCAGCGCGGGCAGCGCCGGCGGAUCGGCGUCUCGUGGCUGCCACCUGCCGAGCUGCAGACCAGUGACCCCCCGCUCGUGUCAGCCCUCCUGACUGUGAGAGGUGACAUCACAGAAUCCUACCGAGUCCUGCUCAUGGCAAGAGUUGUGUCUGCAGCUGCUCCCACUGGCUGAGGGAUCCAGGACAAGUGGAAAGAUGAUGGAGGUUACUUUUCUGGGAGAUUCCUGCAUCUGGUUUGAUUCUGAGGUUGUUGCAAAUAAGUGAGGGCAGUAGGGAUGUGGGAAGGAAGGGCCAUGUAACAUUUGUGCUCUGUUUCACCCAAAGUUCUCUGUAAACUCUGGGGCCAGUGGCUUGACUUGCCAGCUGACUCUGUGACAAUAAUCUUGUGUUAGAGGAAACAAUUACUGAGGGCCCCAAGCUGCUUCACCUGCUGUUAAUUCCAUGUCUCCCAAAGGUGGGCAUUCCACCAGGAGGAGUAUCUGGUUUACAUCCACAUAAGUAAGUUUCUAUCUUUUUCCAAUUUUGGAUGCUUUUUGUAGGAUUUGGAAAAGCC